This 782-nucleotide long non-coding RNA is filed under the name Daphnia pulex (common water flea). RNAcentral describes it as "uncharacterized LOC124207309, transcript variant X1". Lineage: Eukaryota; Metazoa; Arthropoda; Branchiopoda; Diplostraca; Daphniidae. The record is from RNAcentral.
AGUUAAGACUAGACUUCAGUCGGUUAACUGACGUAUUCAAAACAAGCUCAGACUAUUUUUUAAGUUUAUUCGAAUUUUGUGAUUCUAUGAUCUUUCAUGGAGUGUUUGUUCACUGAUUAUUUCACGCCUGUGUAUUAUUGCAAGUAUUGGAAAAUCCAACAUACACAAACAGCAGAUUCUUGUUCACUAUCAAUCCAAGUUACACAAACACCAAGUCAGUAGUCGACAAAAUUGUUACUGCCACAUAAUCAUGUAAUCUUUUUCACUGUAAAUCCAACAUACACAAACAACAAGUCAGUAGUCGACAAAAUUGUUACUCUCAGUUUUGUUCACUAUUAAUCCAACAUAUACACAUAGCAACACAACAUGCUUGAACAUCCUCGAAUACCAAUUGCUUACGGCUGCGUCGGAUCACAGGAUGCUCUCGUCAAUAUAUAUAACUUAGAACUAUAUUUGGAGUUCACUACAACCAACACAACGACAGGUCAAACAAGAUAUUGUAUUUCUGAAGAAGGGUUCCAUCAACAAGAUGCAGAAACAAUGUUAUAUGCUGUCCUACCCACCAACCCUAUAUUCCAUGCACUGCUCUGCACUGCGAAAUAUUUCUGCGGAUGAAUUUACAACGACAACUACUGGAAAACUGCAUAGUUAUUGACGUCAGCUAGCUCUACGAGGAUCGUCACAUUAAUGGAGACGUCAUCAGAAAACAAGUAAUUGGCUUUUUGUGUUAGAUAGCGUUAGAUAGCGUUAAAAAGAGAUCAAUAGAACUGGUUGGAUCUGAA